AUCAUCAGGGCUAUCUGCAGUCGAACGAACUCUGGUAUUGAUUGGUGCUUGCAUCAUGAUUUACAUUUGAGUGAGUGGCGAACUGGUGAGUAACACGUGGGAAACCUGCCCAGAAGCGGGGGAUAACACCUGGAAACAGAUGCUAAUACCGCAUAACAACUUGGACCGCAUGGUCCGAGUUUGAAAGAUGGCUUCGGCUAUCACUUUUGGAUGGUCCCGCGGCGUAUUAGCUAGAUGGUGGGGUAACGGCUCACCAUGGCAAUGAUACGUAGCCGACCUGAGAGGGUAAUCGGCCACAUUGGGACUGAGACACGGCCCAAACUCCUACGGGAGGCAGCAGUAGGGAAUCUUCCACAAUGGACGAAAGUCUGAUGGAGCAACGCCGCGUGAGUGAAGAAGGGUUUCGGCUCGUAAAACUCUGUUGUUAAAGAAGAACAUAUCUGAGAGUAACUGUUCAGGUAUUGACGGUAUUUAACCAGAAAGCCACGGCUAACUACGUGCCAGCAGCCGCGGUAAUACGUAGGUGGCAAGCGUUGUCCGGAUUUAUUGGGCGUAAAGCGAGCGCAGGCGGUUUUUUAAGUCUGAUGUGAAAGCCUUCGGCUCAACCGAAGAAGUGCAUCGGAAACUGGGAAACUUGAGUGCAGAAGAGGACAGUGGAACUCCAUGUGUAGCGGUGAAAUGCGUAGAUAUAUGGAAGAACACCAGUGGCGAAGGCGGCUGUCUGGUCUGUAACUGACGCUGAGGCUCGAAAGUAUGGGUAGCAAACAGGAUUAGAUACCCUGGUAGUCCAUACCGUAAACGAUGAAUGCUAAGUGUUGGAGGGUUUCCGCCCUUCAGUGCUGCAGCUAACGCAUUAAGCAUUCCGCCUGGGGAGUACGGCCGCAAGGCUGAAACUCAAAGGAAUUGACGGGGGGCCCGCACAAGCGGUGGAGCAUGUGGUUUAAUUCGAAGCUACGCGAAGAAACCUUACCAGGUCUUGACAUACUAUGCAAAUCUAAGAGAUUAGACGUUUCCCUUCGGGGACAUGGUAUACAGGGUGGUGCAUGAUUGUCGUCAGCUCGUGUCGUGAGAUGUUGGGUUAAGGUCCUGCACGAAGCGCAACCCUUUAUUAUCAGGCUGGCAGGCAAUGAGGUUGGGCACUCUGGAUGAAGAACUACCGGGUGA
RNAcentral lists this ribosomal RNA (1164 nucleotides) under Lactiplantibacillus plantarum. RNAcentral's name for it is "bacterial SSU rRNA". It matches the Rfam family "Bacterial small subunit ribosomal RNA", at positions 1 to 1160 of the family's 1533-position model. Lineage: Bacteria; Bacillati; Bacillota; Bacilli; Lactobacillales; Lactobacillaceae. The record is from RNAcentral.